This 253-nucleotide ribosomal RNA is filed under the name uncultured bacterium. RNAcentral's name for it is "partial 16S ribosomal RNA". It matches the Rfam family "Bacterial small subunit ribosomal RNA", at positions 524 to 776 of the family's 1533-position model. The record is from RNAcentral. RNAcentral also lists the same sequence under 1 other name.
UACGUAGGGGGCAAGCGUUGUCCGGAAUUAUUGGGCGUAAAGGGCACGCAGGCGGUUGUCUAAGUCUGAUGUGAAAUCUUGCAGCUUAACUGCAAGCGGCCAUUGGAAACUGGAUAACUUGAGUGCAGAAGAGGAGAGUGGAAUUCCACGUGUAGCGGUGAAAUGCGUAGAGAUGUGGAGGAACACCAGUGGCGAAGGCGGCUCUCUGGUCUGUAACUGACGCUGAGGUGCGAAAGCGUGGGUAGCGAACAGG